AUGCUCUGUUUACCUUUCCUACCAAACCUUGCUCCCGUAUAACAGCUGUGUGUUGAAGUCAAAUGAUAAAACAGCAUCCGUAUAACAGUUUUUCUAACGUCAAACGUCGAAGCUCUUUUUGUCAACCUAUUUGUAAACAUUUUUUGUGGAUGUCAAAAGACAGACUAAGACAACGUAAUAUUUAGCCGUUCAAGUUCCGAAGCCAGAUUAAAGUCACCACCAAAAGAUUCGGCACCGGUGGAGGCACCGGGCUCGAAAUAUGUAAGAUGAAGUUGCCAAAGAUAGCAAUAACAGUUCUGCCUGCGUAGAACUUCCGGUGGACAAACUUGCUGCUGUCCAACGCCAGAUCCUAGAGUCAAACCUACAUCGUCGCUGAGCCACCACCAGGAUGGCCGCUCUAAGUUGCAGGAAGUGGCCUACUUAACCGCCGCGAGUUGC
Molecule: long non-coding RNA, 438 nt
Organism: Culex pipiens pallens (northern house mosquito)
Lineage: Eukaryota; Metazoa; Arthropoda; Insecta; Diptera; Culicidae
Exons: 2
Source: RefSeq, a predicted model, not a curated record